Long non-coding RNA from Quercus lobata, 746 nucleotides. RefSeq lists it as uncharacterized. The transcript is spliced from 3 exons. NCBI's taxonomy places the organism in Eukaryota, Viridiplantae, Streptophyta, Magnoliopsida, Fagales, Fagaceae. The record is from RefSeq and is a predicted model, not a curated record.
CAUAAUUAUCCUUUUUACCAUCUCAUUCCUGGAAGUGAAAUUCCGAAAUGGUUUAGCCACCAAAAUUUGGGGGCUUCAGUGAGUCUGCAAGUGCCCUCAGAUUUAUUAUGUAACAAAUUGAUGGGAAUCGCAAUAUGCGCUGUUUUUAUAUUCCGCCAGCAUCAUCCACUUCACCAACUUCAUAUUAACGAUUAUGGAGAUAUGAUAGCGAAAUGGAAAGAAAUAUUGAAUCAAGUCGACGCUAACGGAUUCAACCAGAUUGAAGUUAAAUGUGAACCCGAAGGUCCAGGAUUGGAGGUUACAAAAUGCGGGGCCCAUCUGGUAUUCGAGCGAGACAUUGAAGACCUAAUAAACCAAACUAAGGUUGGGUCUAGCAGCUGCAUCAUCACUCACGAUGAGGAUGGUUUUGAGGAUUCAGAAAAAGAUACCAAAAUUAAGCGAAGCAGUGAUGACUUUGAUGGGGAAGGGGCUGGACCUAGUGGAGAAGCUACCCCAAAUGACGAACCACCACACCUAAAUCUAAUUGAAAAUUGGUUUGGGAAUUCUGAUUGUGAGGAAGAGGAAUCUCAAUGAAAGUUAUAGCAUUUAUGGAAUCUGCACUGCCGAUCAACUUUCUUCUCUCUGAUUUUAUUAUACAAAGAAGUAUUUGGACUUUGUUGGAAAGGAGAAACUGUCACAUUGCUAGCUGACGAAAAGGCAUGUGGAACUGAUUGUAUGGUAGUCAUUUUUGUUCAAUUGUGUUGGAU